CUUUUGACUUUUAAGAAGUGAGCUGAUAUUCUUCGAUAUUUUGUGUGAGCAUCCAAGAAAGUAAAAAAAGGGGGAAAGAAAGAGUCAAGAUGGUAUUUUUCUCAGGCAUUUUGUUGUGGCUGCUGUUUGGUUGGAAAGAAAAUUUGGGGACUUUGUGAGAUCGAAUUAUCAUUCUUCGAAGAAUAUGGAUUCGUUUCAGAACUCGGUUUUUUAUUUGGAUAAAAGUUUAAUGGGGUGUAAUAUGCCCGAAUUGGUAGUUUGUUAUAAAGAGAAUAGAUAUCAUGUUAUCAAAGAUAUCUGUAUCGAUGGAGGAGUUUUGACAAAGGACAAGUUCUUGUUCGACAGUGGCACAGAUGAGAAGUUUCUGCCUUCUGAAAAGGAUCUAGAUGCUACACUAAUGAAAGAGAACCCGGAAAUGGAUAUGUCCAUAAACGAUGUAUCUAGGCUUCCAGAAGAAAAUCAACCUGACAAGGAUAUUGACAAUGAAUGGGGUUCGAAGAAAAAACUCGAUGCUGAUACAUGUAUACAAGAUGUUUCCUUACUAGAAGAAAAUAAGGACUCCAACGAGGGGCUUCCGAAUCAAUGUGAUUCUAGGGAUUUGAUUUUGUCAAGGGAAAUGAAGCAUGAUGUGAUGAUGCAAGUGAUUACGGAUGAUGUCUCCAAAAAGUUGUAUGCCCUUGGACUCGGAGAGUUAACUUUGAUGUCGGAAAUGAGCUCAGUGAAAACCCAAUCUGUGUGUUCUGACUGCAAAAGUGAUGGAACCGAACAACAGUCUUCUCGGAACUCGAGCGAAAAGGAAGUCACGGGGACACACCCUUUGGUUUCUGCAGUUGAAGAAUCAAACAAUAGCAGCGAAGAGGCGAUUCUAUCAGCUUCUGCUUUGGUUUCUGCUGCUGAAGAAUCUGACCCUGAGAAAGGGGAAGCUACUUUGAUCAGUUCUGUCCCGGCCUCCGUUUCCGAGGAAUCAAGCAGCAGAUGCCUUGUUAACGAGGUAUCUAAUGAUAGCAGACUGGUGGGUGGACGGAUCACAUGUCACUUCGACUCUUCUGCUCCAACAAGCAGCAAAGACGAGUGUCACCACUAUCCUGAUAGUGAAUCGAAGGCUGAAGAUAGAGUUGAUCAACCUUUUUCGAACAAUCUUCAAAGGGAAAAUGCAGAGUCUAGUUUCUCUAUUGCAGGGCCAGUAACCGGUCUUAUAACUUACUCUGGGCCAAUAGCAUAUUCAGGCAAUCUCUCCCUCAGAUCAGAUAGCAGCACAGCAAGCACUCGUUCUUUCGCCUUCCCUAUAUUGCAGCCUGAAUGGGAUGCAAGUCCGGUAAGAAUGGCUAAAGCCGACAGGAGACAUUACCGGAAGCAUCGGGGCUGGAGGCAGGGCAUCCUGUGCUGUAGAUUCUGAAAAGUUGUAUUCAAUCCAUAGGGUAUACAAAUCUAUUAUUCUUAACAAGUUACAUACAUCAAUAUCAUCCUAUUUUCUCUCAUAUGGUGUCGGAGUUUCGGUCUCGUUCACGUAACUUGAGCUGUAAGCAAUUCCGUAGAUUUUUUUCAUAUAUUUGUAGCGUUUAUUUUUGGGUUUUCACUUUCUUUGUUAAUAAUGCCAUGUUAAGUUGUAUCA
This is an RNA transcript of Hibiscus syriacus, 1612 nucleotides long. RefSeq lists it as uncharacterized. Lineage: Eukaryota; Viridiplantae; Streptophyta; Magnoliopsida; Malvales; Malvaceae. The transcript is spliced from 5 exons. The record is from RefSeq and is a predicted model, not a curated record.